This 442-nucleotide ribosomal RNA is filed under the name uncultured bacterium. RNAcentral describes it as "partial 16S ribosomal RNA". It matches the Rfam family "Bacterial small subunit ribosomal RNA", at positions 338 to 795 of the family's 1533-position model. The record is from RNAcentral.
UCUACGGGAGGCAGCAGUAGGGAAUCUUUCACAAUGGGCGAAAGCCUGAUGGAGCAACGCCGCGUGCAGGAAGAAGGCCUUCGGGAUGUAAACUGCUUUUAUAAGCGAGAAAUAUGAUGGUAACUGAGGACUAAGGAACGGCACACUCCGUGCAAGCAGCCGCUGACAUACGUAGGAUCCGAGCGUUAUCCGGAGUGACGGGGUGUAAAGAGGCGCGUAGGGUGUGUAAUAAGUAGCUAGGGAAAUCUGGUGGCUCAACCAUUCAGAAUAUUAGCUAAACUGUUAAGCUUGAGACCGUUAGGGGUAACUGGAAUUUCUAGUGUAGCAGUGAAAUCCGUAGAUACCAGAAGGAACACCAAUAGCGUAGGCAGGUUACUGGGACGGUUCUGACACUAAGGCACGAAAGCGUAGGGAGCAAACGGGAUUAGAUACCCCUGUAGUC